Molecule: non-coding RNA, 463 nt
Organism: Paramuricea clavata
Lineage: Eukaryota; Metazoa; Cnidaria; Anthozoa; Malacalcyonacea; Plexauridae
Source: the annotation of a GenBank genome assembly
CAAAAAUUCAAAUUGUUGCAAUGGAAUAAUUGUAAUAUUUACAUGCUUACUAACAGUACAUUUUCAUUUAAGAUGUUAACAAGACGAGGCUUGUCUUGGUUGAAGCAAAUUAAAGAGUCACAUGGGUCUGUUGCUCUCACAACUAUGGUUCAAGUUGAAGCAAUCAAUUCUUCUGGUAUUUACUACAUUGCAGACACCGAAAAAGCUAAAGAAAGUAAACAUGUGGACAAUGGCGUUACAUUGUGCCUUGAGAAUUUGGUAUCCCUUGUUGUUCCUAAAGACGAAAUUAAGAGUCGAGAGGAAAAGAUUUAUAGCUUGGAAGAAGUAAAGGAUGUUCAAAGUAAAUUGAUGUUGAUUGCUGGGAGAGCAGAAAGUGGAAAGGAGGAGGUUGACCAGUUCAACGAGGUUUGUAUUACAAGUACUAGUUAAAACAUUAUAGCAGCCGAUCUUUAUCUGAUGUAAC